Molecule: unclassified non-coding RNA, 395 nt
Filed under: soil metagenome
Description: partial contains 5.8S ribosomal RNA, internal transcribed spacer 2, and large subunit ribosomal RNA
Rfam family: 5.8S ribosomal RNA (bases 1-120)
Source: RNAcentral
GAUGAAGAACGCAGUGAAAUGCGAUAAGUAAUGUGAAUUGCAGAAUUCAGUGAAUCAUCGAAUCUUUGAACGCACCUUGCGCCUUUUGGUAUUCCGAAAGGCACACCUGUUUGAGCGUCAUGAAUACCUCAAUCUCCAUCUUUUCUUCGGAUUGAUGGGUGACUUGGAUGUUGAGCCCUGCUGGUAUGCUAUAUCAGCUGGCUUUAAACUUAUUAGCCGACUCUGUACUGGAUCGGUUUGACUCGACGUGAUAAUAUUAUCGUUGAGGAUGCAUGUCUCAUGCAGCCGGAAAGUAUCAAAGCAGCUUCUAGCUUGCCUUUAGUGCACUUUUACAUUUUAGACCUCAGAUCAGGUGGGACUACCCGCUGAACUUAAGCAUAUCAAUAAGCGGAGGA